GAUGAACGCUGGCGGCGUGCCUAAUACAUGCAAGUCGAGCGAACAGAUGAGGAGCUUGCUCCUCUGACGUUAGCGGCGGACGGGUGAGUAACACGUGGAUAACCUACCUAUAAGACUGGGAUAACUUCGGGAAACCGGAGCUAAUACCGGAUAAUAUAUUGAACCGCAUGGUUCAAUAGUGAAAGACGGUUUUGCUGUCACUUAUAGAUGGAUCCGCGCCGCAUUAGCUAGUUGGUAAGGUGACGGCUUACCAAGGCGACGAUGCGUAGCCGACCUGAGAGGGUGAUCGGCCACACUGGAACUGAGACACGGUCCAGACUCCUACGGGAGGCAGCAGUAGGGAAUCUUCCGCAAUGGGCGAAAGCCUGACGGAGCAACGCCGCGUGAGUGAUGAAGGUCUUCGGAUCGUAAAACUCUGUUAUUAGGGAAGAACAAAUGUGUAAGUAACUAUGCACGUCUUGACGGUACCUAAUCAGAAAGCCACGGCUAACUACGU
This 496-nucleotide ribosomal RNA is filed under the name uncultured bacterium. RNAcentral's name for it is "partial 16S ribosomal RNA". It matches the Rfam family "Bacterial small subunit ribosomal RNA", at positions 28 to 506 of the family's 1533-position model. The record is from RNAcentral.